Molecule: ribosomal RNA, 450 nt
Filed under: uncultured Glomeromycotina
Lineage: Eukaryota; Fungi; Glomeromycota
Description: SSU rRNA
Rfam family: Eukaryotic small subunit ribosomal RNA
Source: RNAcentral
AGCAGCCGCGGUAAUUCCAGCUCCAAUAGCGUAUAUUAAAGUUGUUGCAGUUAAAAGCUCGUAGUUGAAUUUCGGAACCGAUGGAUCGGUCACGCCAUUCGGUGUGUACUGGUUUAAUUGGUUCUCACCUUCUAAGGAACCGUGAUGUCAUUAAUUUGGUGUCGCGGGGAAUUAGGACUGUUACCUUGAAAAAUUAGAGUGUUUAAAGCAAGCUCACGCUUGAAUACAUUAGCAUGGAAUAAUGAAAUAGGACAUUGUAUUCUAUUUUGUUGGUUUCUAGGAUCGAUGUAAUGAUUAAUAGGGAUAGUUGGGGGCAUUAGUAUUCAAUUGUCAGAGGUGAAAUUCUUGGAUUUAUUGAAGACUAACUACUGCGAAAGCAUUUGCCAAGGAUGUUUUCAUUAAUCAAGAACGAAAGUUAGGGAUCGAAGACGAUCAGAUACCGUCGUAGUC